This 408-nucleotide ribosomal RNA is filed under the name uncultured bacterium. Its description in RNAcentral is "bacterial SSU rRNA". It matches the Rfam family "Bacterial small subunit ribosomal RNA", at positions 355 to 775 of the family's 1533-position model. The record is from RNAcentral.
UGGGGAAUAUUGCACAAUGGGCGAAAGCCUGAUGCAGCAACGCCGCGUGCGGGAUGACGGCCUUCGGGUUGUAAACCGCUUUCAGUAGGGACGAAGCUAACGUGACGGUACCUACAGAAGAAGCACCGGCCAACUACGUGCCAGCAGCCGCGGUGAUACGUAGGGUGCAAGCGUUGUCCGGAAUUAUUGGGCGUAAAGAGCUCGUAGGCGGUCUGUCACGUCGGAAGUGAAAUCUCGGGGCUUAACCCCGAGCCUGCUUCCGAUACGGGCAGACUAGAGGAAGGUAGGGGAGAACGGAAUUCCGAGUGGAGCGGUGGAAUGCGCAGAUAUUCGGAGGAACACCGGUGGCGAAGGCGGUUCUCUGGACCUUUCCUGACGCUGAGGAGCGAAAGCGUGGGGAGCAAACAG